Molecule: ribosomal RNA, 330 nt
Filed under: uncultured bacterium
Lineage: Bacteria
Description: bacterial SSU rRNA
Rfam family: Bacterial small subunit ribosomal RNA
Source: RNAcentral
UGCGCAGGCGGUUAUGCAAGACAGAUGUGAAAUCCCCGGGCUCAACCUGGGAACUGCAUUUGUGACUGCAUAGCUAGAGUACGGUAGAGGGGGAUGGAAUUCCGCGUGUAGCAGUGAAAUGCGUAGAUAUGCGGAGGAACACCGAUGGCGAAGGCAAUCCCCUGGACCUGUACUGACGCUCAUGCACGAAAGCGUGGGGAGCAAACAGGAUUAGAUACCCUGGUAGUCCACGCCCUAAACGAUGUCAACUGGUUGUUGGGAGGGUUUCUUCUCAGUAACGAAGCUAACGCGUGAAGUUGACCGCCUGGGGAGUACGGCCGCAAGGUUGAA